RNAcentral lists this non-coding RNA (21 nucleotides) under Caenorhabditis elegans. Lineage: Eukaryota; Metazoa; Nematoda; Chromadorea; Rhabditida; Rhabditidae. The record is from RNAcentral.
UGGUUUCUUCAAUUUUCUUAA